AGCGCAGGCGGUGCGGCAAGUCUGAUGUGAAAGCCCGGGGCUCAACCCCGGUACUGCAUUGGAAACUGUCGUACUAGAGUGUCGGAGGGGUAAGCGGAAUUCCUAGUGUAGCGGUGAAAUGCGUAGAUAUUAGGAGGAACACCAGUGGCGAAGGCGGCUUACUGGACUGUUACUGACACUGAGGCACGAAAGCGUGGGGAGCAAACA
RNAcentral lists this ribosomal RNA (207 nucleotides) under uncultured bacterium. RNAcentral's name for it is "partial 16S ribosomal RNA". It matches the Rfam family "Bacterial small subunit ribosomal RNA", at positions 568 to 774 of the family's 1533-position model. The record is from RNAcentral.